Molecule: ribosomal RNA, 512 nt
Filed under: uncultured bacterium
Lineage: Bacteria
Description: partial 16S ribosomal RNA
Rfam family: Bacterial small subunit ribosomal RNA
Source: RNAcentral
GACGAACGCUGGCGGCGUGCCUAAUACAUGCAAGUCGAGCGGACAGAAGGGAGCUUGCUCCCGGAAGUCAGCGGCGGACGGGUGAGUAACGCGUGGGUAACCUGCCUAUAAGACUGGGAUAACUCCGGGAAACCGGGGCUAAUACCGGAUAAUAUCAAGAGCUGCAUGGCUUUUGGUUGAAAGGCGGCUUCGGCGGUCACUUAUAGAUGGACCCGCGGCGCAUUAGCUAGUUGGCGGGGUAACGGCCCACCAAGGCAACGAUGCGUAGCCGACCUGAGAGGGUGAUCGGCCACACUGGGACUGAGACACGGCCCAGACUCCUACGGGAGGCAGCAGUAGGGAAUCUUCCGCAAUGGACGAAAGUCUGACGGAGCAACGCCGCGUGAGUGAAGAAGGUUUUCGGAUCGUAAAACUCUGUUGUCAGGGAAGAACAAGUACCGGAGUAACUGCCGGUACCUUGACGGUACCUGACCAGAAAGCCACGGCUAACUACGUGCCAGCCGCCGCGGUAA